UCUACGGGAGGCAGCAGUGGGGGAUAUUGCACAAUGGAGGAAACUCUGAUGCAGCGACGCCGCGUGAGUGAAGACGGUCUUCGGAUUGUAAACCUCUGUCUUUGGGGAAGAAAAUGACGGUACCCAAAUAGGAACCUCCGGCUAACUCCGUGCCAGCAGCCGCGGUAAUACGUAGGGAGCGAGCGUUGUCCGGAAUUACGGGGUGUAACGGGAGCGGAGGCGGGCGAGAAAGUUGAAUGUUAAAUCUACCGGCUUAACUGGGAGGGGCGUUGAAAACUUCUUGUCUUGAGUGAAGUAGAGGCAGGCGGAAUUCCUGGUGUAGCGGUGAAAUGCGUAGAUAUUAGGAGGAACACCAGUGGCGAAGGCGGCCUGCUGGGCUGUAACUGACGCUGAGGCUCGAAAGCGUGGGGAGCAAACAGGAUUAGAUACCCGGGUAGUC
RNAcentral lists this ribosomal RNA (439 nucleotides) under uncultured bacterium. Its description in RNAcentral is "partial 16S ribosomal RNA". It matches the Rfam family "Bacterial small subunit ribosomal RNA", at positions 338 to 795 of the family's 1533-position model. The record is from RNAcentral.